AGAUGUGAGAGUGAGCUGGCUAUAACAUCUGUCACUCUAUUGAUUGUCAUGUUUCAUUCUGCUGGGGUGGUUGGCUAGGUGGGUGCCCUUCCUCCUUCACUGCAUCCCUCCUGAGAUUGCACACUUGGUAGAAGAGGACAAGCAUGGAUAGAAGAGAACAAUGCCUAUGUCCAAGGUUAUAUGAGUAGCUUCAUACUUCUAUUAGAACUUCCAAACAGUUUCUCAAAAUAAAGCACAUACUAGCCCAUAAAGCAUGCUAGAGUAAAUGCAAAAAAAUUCAAACUUUU
Molecule: non-coding RNA, 287 nt
Organism: Cavia porcellus (domestic guinea pig)
Lineage: Eukaryota; Metazoa; Chordata; Mammalia; Rodentia; Caviidae
Rfam family: 7SK RNA
About the family: 7SK was discovered as an abundant small nuclear RNA in the mid-70s but a possible function has only recently been suggested.
Source: Rfam